This 289-nucleotide ribosomal RNA is filed under the name uncultured prokaryote. RNAcentral's name for it is "partial 16S ribosomal RNA". It matches the Rfam family "Bacterial small subunit ribosomal RNA", at positions 524 to 820 of the family's 1533-position model. The record is from RNAcentral.
UACGUAGGGGCUAGCGUUAUCCGGAAUUACUGGGCGUAAAGGGUGCGUAGGUGGUUUCUUAAGUCAGAGGUUAAAGGCUACGGCUCAACCGUAGUAAGCCUUUGAAACUGGGAAACUUGAGUGCAGGAGAGGAGAGUGGAAUUCCUAGUGUAGCGGUGAAAUGCGUAGAUAUCGGGGGGAAUACCAGUGGCGAAGGCGGCUUCCUGGACUGUACCUGACACUGAGGCACGAAAGCGUGGGGAGCAAACAGGAUUAGAUACCCCGGUAGUCCCUGAGCGGGCUGGCAAGG